This 20-nucleotide transfer RNA is filed under the name Eurycea quadridigitata. Its description in RNAcentral is "partial tRNA-Met". Lineage: Eukaryota; Metazoa; Chordata; Amphibia; Caudata; Plethodontidae. The record is from RNAcentral.
UUAAUUUCCCUCUUUUACUA